Small nuclear RNA from Onychomys torridus (southern grasshopper mouse), 107 nucleotides. The record is from RefSeq and is a predicted model, not a curated record. Lineage: Eukaryota; Metazoa; Chordata; Mammalia; Rodentia; Cricetidae.
GUGCUCACUUGGGCAGCACAUAUACUAAAAUUGGAAUGAUACAGGCAAGAUUAGCAUGGCCGCUAUGCAAGGAUGAUACAUAAAUUUGUGAAGCGUUCCCCAAACAA